CCUACGGGAGGCUGCAGUGGGGAAUAUUCCACAAUGGGGGACACCCUGCUGCAGCGACGCCGCGUGGGUGAAGAAGUAUUUCGGUAUGUAACGCCCUAUCAGCAGGGAAGAAAAUGACGGUACCUGACUAAGAAGCCUCGGAUAGAUACGUGCCAGCAGCCGCGGUAAUACGUAGGGGGCAAGCGUGAUACGGAUUUACUGGGAUUAAAGGGAGCGUAGACGGUCAGACAAGUCAGAAGGUAAAGCCAUGGGCUAAACCCUGGAACUGCUGUUGAAACUGCAGGGCUGGAGUGCAGAAGAGGUAAGCGGAAUGCCUGGUGUAGCGGUGAAAUGCGUAGAUAUUAGGAUGAACACCAGUGGCGAAGGCGGCUUACUGGUCUGUAACUGACGUUGAGGCUCGAAAGCGUGGGGAGCAAACAGGAUUAGAUACCCUUGUAGUC
Molecule: ribosomal RNA, 440 nt
Filed under: uncultured bacterium
Lineage: Bacteria
Description: partial 16S ribosomal RNA
Rfam family: Bacterial small subunit ribosomal RNA
Source: RNAcentral